RNA transcript from Ipomoea triloba (trilobed morning glory), 1232 nucleotides. It is a transcript of the gene named probable plastid-lipid-associated protein 4, chloroplastic, with no coding region annotated. The transcript is spliced from 8 exons. The record is from RefSeq and is a predicted model, not a curated record. Lineage: Eukaryota; Viridiplantae; Streptophyta; Magnoliopsida; Solanales; Convolvulaceae.
GCCAGCCUGCUUACGUUAUCCAGACAACAGAAAUGGCCAUUCCUUUCUCCACUUGUUCAUCUUCCAUAGCUUUAGCUCCUCUCUAUUCCGGUGCCGAUCCUUCUUCUCUCCCUGCAAAUCUCUCUUCAAGGUUAAUCCUGCCCGCUUCACCUAAACUCCACAGUGGAAGUACUUCCACCUUCCAUUGCUGGUCCGAAAACCUUAAAGUCGAACAAGUGCCACAGCAUUGGAAAUGGAGGACACGUGUCUCUUUCUCUUUCUUGAGCAGAAGCCAAGACGUCGAGAGCUUGAAAGAGGAACUUCUUGAGGCUAUUGCCCCUCUCGAUCGAGGUGCCGAUGCCACUCCUGAAGACCAAAGGCUUGUUGAUCAGAUUGCACGAAAACUCGAGGCAGUUAAUAAAGUGAAGGAGCCACUCAAGUCCAGCUUGUUGAAUGGAAAAUGGGAGCUUUUAUACACAACCUCUGAAUCUAUUUUGCAAACCCGGAGGCCCAAAGUUUUUAGACCGAAUGGAAAAAUCUACCAGGCAAUUAAUGUGGAUACACUGAGGGCUCAAAAUAUGGAAACUUGGCCCUUUUUCAAUCAGGCCACCGCCAAUUUAGUUCCUAUCAAUGCAAAGAGAGUUGCUGUUAAAUUUGAUUCUUUCAAGAUAGCUGGUGUGAUACCCAUAAAUGCACGAGGGAGUGGCCGUGGCCAAAUAGAAAUCACAUAUCUUGAUAAAGAUCUACGGAUAACAAGGGGUAACCAAGGAAACCUAUUCAUUCUUAGAAUGGUCGAUCCGUCCUAUAGAGUUCCCAUUUAGAAUAGCUUCAGAUGUGGUUAUUCCUCACAACUUGUUUGGAAUCAGUUCCUCGAGGUUUCAGAGUGAUGCAGAGGCUGCAGAUGCAUAUAAUAUGAGCUUGCUUGUAUGUACUGUUGCAUCGGGAUAUAAGAAGAGCAACCUCGCUAGCCAACUUAGGAAAAAUGAAGAUGUAUAAAUGAAGAUGUAUAGCAUGAACAAUUGGAAAGCGUAUAAACAUACUGUCUGUCUUUGUUCUCUGAUUCAACAAAAAGUUACAAACUCCGAAAGCAAUGUCUUUGUUCUCUGAUUCAACUAAAAGUUACAAACUGCGAAAGCUCCUACUCUCUUUGGCUGGCACCUCUGUUCUUGGCCAAAAAAGGCCAAGGCAAUAGUGCAAAACCAAGGCGACACUCAAAGACCCAGGCAGCAAGCUACCUUGGUGGAUCUUUCCCC